RNAcentral lists this ribosomal RNA (495 nucleotides) under uncultured bacterium. Its description in RNAcentral is "partial 16S ribosomal RNA". It matches the Rfam family "Bacterial small subunit ribosomal RNA", at positions 28 to 505 of the family's 1533-position model. The record is from RNAcentral.
GACGAACGCUGGCGGCGUGCCUAAUACAUGCAAGUAGAACGCUGAAGAGAGGAGCUUGCUCUUCUUGGAUGAGUUGCGAACGGGUGAGUAACGCGUAGGUAACCUGCCUUGUAGCGGGGGAUAACUAUUGGAAACGAUAGCUAAUACCGCAUAACAAUGGAUGACACAUGUCAUUUAUUUGAAAGGGGCAAUUGCUCCACUACAAGAUGGACCUGCGUUGUAUUAGCUAGUAGGUGAGGUAAUGGCUCACCUAGGCGACGAUACAUAGCCGACCUGAGAGGGGGACCGGCCCCCCGGGGCUUGACAACCGGCCCAGACCCACAGGGGGGGCAGGAGUGGGGAAUUUUCGGCAAUGGGGGCAACCCUGACCGAGCAACGCCGCGGGGGUAAAGAAGGUUUUCGGAUCGUAAAGCUCUGUUGUAAGUAAAGAACGGGUGUGGGAGUGGAAAGUUCAAACUGUGACGGUAGUUUACCAGAAAGGGCCGGCUAACUACU